RNAcentral lists this long non-coding RNA (858 nucleotides) under Mizuhopecten yessoensis (Yesso scallop). Its description in RNAcentral is "uncharacterized LOC110462333". The record is from RNAcentral. Lineage: Eukaryota; Metazoa; Mollusca; Bivalvia; Pectinida; Pectinidae.
CCUAGUUCCGGAGAAGCCGCACGCAUUUCCGGAGAAGCUGCACGCUGUUCCGGAGAAGCCGCACGCGCUUCAGGAGAACCCGCGCGCUGUUCCGGAGAAGCCGCACGCUGUUCUGGAGAAUCGUUAGCUGAUCGAUGUAUUCCAUACCAUUUUGACCGAAAGUGACGAACUCGAUGGGGGCUUCGCCGACGACUUGCGAAAUGCGAAGAACGUCUUGAUAUAUAUAUUCUCUACAGCUGUCUGUGUUGGAGAUCGUGAAAGAUUGGGUCCGGUUAGCUUGCUUGUACGACUUCACCAUGCGGAGGAGACUUUCCUUUUCACCAUCGAUGAUAGAUCCAUCACUUACGUCGCAAUAGGUUCAAUCCAUAGAUGUCGACUGAAGUCGUCAAUAACCAUCAAGAGAUAUCGCACUCCCGAAUUAUGUUUGGAUAGAGAUGUCAUGUCUGCCAAAUCAGCAUCGUCUUGUUCACCUGGCCCGCCAACUUCAACACGUGCACGUUUAAAAGAACGCCUAACUGGUUUUUGUAAACUAUAAUCAUCAAGACUCUUUAUAUAUCUUCUGAUCUUAUAUAUGCCAAAGGUUUUAAUACCUUGUGAUUUCAAUAUUUGGUGAACCUUCACGGGACUGAGAAAUGCACCACCAUUCUCUUUAUUAUAAUAUACGUCAUCUAUAAGUCGUUUCUCUGCCUCAGUCAACAUAUUUGAAAAUAAUGAGACAAAAACAUUUAUGUACAAACUUUUAUUUACAUUGAUACAUAUUACAACGUUUUGUGAAACCAUUCUUCUACACGAUUCAAGGACAUGACCAUUAUACCGACUUUCUGUUUCUAUUUUUCUGUUUUAAGUUCAUUACUUCUC